Non-coding RNA from Taeniopygia guttata (zebra finch), 2428 nucleotides. The record is from RefSeq and is a predicted model, not a curated record. NCBI's taxonomy places the organism in Eukaryota, Metazoa, Chordata, Aves, Passeriformes, Estrildidae.
UUUUCUUUUUUUUUUUUUUCCCAGAGGAAGCAUGGUGGGAAUAUCAGCCUUUCUGUCUUGCUAGUGAAAGAAAAACAAACAAACAGAUCCCUUUUAUUUGUAUUCCUUGGCACUAAAAGACAUGGUGCCAAGUGAGGACUCUUCUUUCAGACAAGUCCCUGUCCACACUGAGUGCUUUGGUAGCUAUAAAGUAUAUAUACUUCCAUUUACUUUGAACUGAAGAACAUCUCCAGUGAGGAGAACAGUGAACUGAAAUUUCCUUUCAACAUUGCAUUUAUUUUCUAGUAAAUUUUAGAUAAGUAUUUCUGAAGUAAUUUUCUGAGUAAUAGAAUACAGGGUAAUAGUGUGAUUUGGACCUUAUUCUGCUAAACACAUACACUAUCUACUUUCAAUUGCUUUGAUUGCUUGAUACCCAACACAUAAAUUCAGGAGUCUAAAUUCUCUAUAGCAGCCUGUGGAGGAAUCUAGGCACUUUUGAAUGGUUAUUCUUAGCACAUAAAUUAGAUAAAUAAAUUCAGAGUAUGUGGCCACAAAUUCUAAAAUCUACAGAUCGAAAAGAAAGGUCUCCAUGACUGUGUGAGGGAUGUAUAGCUCAGAGAGCAUGCGGUUCAAAGCACCACAAGUGUCUCCACCAGGUCAAAAAUACUCUUUAUUAGCUCUAGUUUAACAACAAGUUUGGACCUCAUCUGCCUUUCACAGAGAAACUACCAUGCAAGUCUGUGCUCUCCUUGGUGCUUUGGAUGGACUUUUUGCCUUUAGCAUAGCACAGCACAGUGCAAAUGCAAAGCCUAGCACGUGCCUUGGUGCUGCAUUCAAGACAGCACUUCCUCCUAGAAGCCAGAAACUGCUAAGACUUGGGUACAAUAAAUAGGAGUAUAGACUGUGUCUUCCCAGGAAAAAAAGUAGUAGAUAAUGUUUUCUUUAGGGGCCAGCCCUGAAGAAAUCAGCAUUGCUCUCCCAGCCUCUGGCUUGUUGCUGGACUCAGCACUGUGUUAGAGCCCAGCCAAGUCCAGGUGUUCACAUGGGUUUGCAUUGAACCCAACAAGCUUCUGGGACUCAGAGAUCUGUGGGGUGGCGGGUAUUUGUACUGCCCAGCAGCCCUGGUCUUCACAGUGAGACCAGGAGGCACCUGACCUGGAUGGGCUUGCUGGAAACCAGGUUGCAUCUGCCAGAGUGUUUUUUUCUGUGUGUUUUGCUGCAGAACAGUGGCAACACUGGUCCCUGAGGUAAAGUGGUGUGAGAAACAGUAGAACUGUGUUUGUGCCAAACCUUAACAGUCUUUCCAUAACUUGCAUAAAUAAUCUGGAAUCCAGAUAACUGAUAUUUGACUGUUGUAAGAAAUACAGAUUCUAGAAGUUUUCAGGAUAUUAGACAAAAAACAAACCAUGAGGCUAGACAGAGUAUUAAUUUUUAAAAAUUGCUUUUGUAAAAACAAAAGCAAAAACCAGGAAAAAACCUCCUUAAAAUACCAUUAUCAAAGGUAAAAAAUUAAAAGGAUUAAUUCAUGAAUCUUCAAAUAAAAGAGGAUAUGAAACAAAGUUCUGACAGACCUCUUUGUGUAAAAACAUUUUCUUUCUAAUUAAGCCUUUAUAAUCUUUUACAAACAAGUGGAUUUUUUAUGGAAGUGAAAAGUACCACAACCUAGAUGCUGCCAUGAUUCCUCCAAGGAAAAUGAAAAUAUUUUUAUUCUUCACAUCAGUUUAACGCAGAAGAAAAAACUAAAGUAUGUUUUUGACCUCUGCUUGUAUAAUUAGUAUAUAGACAUUAAUCACAGUAGCUUCCUUAAGUUUUCUGAAUGUCUUUUGGUGUUAUACAUGAGUAGACUGACAUACUGACAUUUGUAGGGUACAUAAGUAAACAAUUCAACUUGAGUGGCACACCCUGUCCCUUGGAAGGAGUCGCAGUACUAUUUUCCCAUGAAACUUGUGUGUAUAUAAAGGAAAGAACUGCAUGCAUUAUUUCAAGGGUGGAGGUUAACAAUAGGAAUUUAAACAGAUAGCUAUAAACUUAGUAAAGUGAGGAUUAGUACAGACUGUGGUGCACAUUAAUUCCAGACUGCAGAUUUGUGGAUUUUCAUUUAAUACUAGGUAAACAACCACGCUGGACCACUAAUGAUAUGCUGCCUCCUUUCUGGGUCCCCAGCCCAAGACAGCCACAGUCUGCAUUUCAUAGAUGCUGACAAGUCAGUGCAGCUGAAGCCAGCAGAUGCCAUGAGUGACUGGUGGCCAUCAGACAAGUUCCAGGCAUCUCCAGUGAAGAAUACAGAAAUCAUUUUGAGACAACUUCAGAGUCAACAUACUGGCGUAUAAGUGGCACUAAACUGAGCCCUUGAGAUGACUGGGAUUUUUGACAUAUGAGCACAUUCUUUCUUGCAAGAGUUUGCUUGAGUGGUAGUUGUAUUGAUGUAAUAAAAGAAAUGCAAGACCAA